This 303-nucleotide ribosomal RNA is filed under the name uncultured bacterium. Its description in RNAcentral is "partial 16S ribosomal RNA". It matches the Rfam family "Bacterial small subunit ribosomal RNA", at positions 507 to 807 of the family's 1533-position model. The record is from RNAcentral.
AGCAGUAGCCGCGGUAAUACGAAGGGUGCAAGCGUUAAUCGGAAUUACUGGGCGUAAAGGGUGCGUAGGCGGUUGUUUAAGUCUGUUGUGAAAUCCCCGGGCUCAACCUGGGAAUGGCAAUGGAAACUGGACGGCUAGAGUGUGUCAGAGGAUGGUGGAAUUCCCGGUGUAGCGGUGAAAUGCGUAGAGAUCUGGAGGAAUACCGGUGGCGAAGGCGGCCCCCUGGACAAAGACUGACGCUCAGGUGCGAAAGCGUGGGGAGCAAACAGGAUUAGAUACCCCUGUAGUCCCUGUCUCUUAUAC